CCAGUAUUAACUAGUUGACCCAAAAAGACAUGCAAGCAGACUGAAUAGGAAGGAGAAUGAAAGAAUGAUCUCUCCUUCAACUCUGAUGUGGCGUGGCAGAGAAUGCUCAAACCAAAAUGGUAGAUAGAGAAUUUAUAUUCAAGCUAAGGGAGAAGACAGUAAGAGAGCAUUUCUCUGUCUUUUGGUGAAUUCAAAUGACUUGGCCCAGAUGAACUACAUACUCAUGUUCUGAAAAUAUUGAAGGAAAUGGCAGAUGGGAUUGCUGAGUCACUCUCAUUUGAAAGAUCAUGGAAAAUAGGAGGGGAAAACACAACAUAGGAGAAACGCAAAUGUUGCCCCAAUUUUCACAAAGUGAAGAGGAUAGCCUUCAGACUAGGAAAGAGUGUCCUUGGCAGUAGCUGCAGAAGGUUCUCCUCUGAAGAUGGGCUACAUGGAACUUGAAGGGAGGAAGCUCCUUUUCUCGACCGUGCUGAGGAAGAAGAGAGUAGAAGACUAUUUAAUGGAGCAGGAGCUGAGAAUGUUUUUUCUCCCCUACCCAGAAAGCUACCCUUGAAACAAAGAUUUUAAAAGCAUUCAGCAAAAUAAAAAAGGGUAUCAGUUGUCUGAUGUGUAGUAU
RNAcentral lists this long non-coding RNA (616 nucleotides) under Monodelphis domestica (gray short-tailed opossum). RNAcentral's name for it is "lncRNA (ENSMODG00000034263.2)". Lineage: Eukaryota; Metazoa; Chordata; Mammalia; Didelphimorphia; Didelphidae. The record is from RNAcentral.